RNAcentral lists this long non-coding RNA (966 nucleotides) under Androctonus crassicauda. The record is from RNAcentral. Lineage: Eukaryota; Metazoa; Arthropoda; Arachnida; Scorpiones; Buthidae.
GAUAGCUAUUGCUAAAAAUAAUAACAACAACUUAAUGAACUUAAUUAUAGGAGCAAACAUAUUUAUGUGAUACAAAAUUGCUAUAUAUUCUUUUAUUUUCCUGGUAUAACUGUUUUUAUCUCUUUUGAUGAUUUUAAUUUUUUUCUCAAUGUUAGUCAUAGAAAUUUCAGUGAGUUUGGGCCAAUUACUGAUCCCAUUCCAAUGCCAUUAGUUUGUCUGUAGAAUUUUUCUUCUGUAGUGAAGUAGUUAUUUUCUAAAAUAAAUUUUAUUAGUAUUUUUAAUUAAUCGUCAAGUUCUGAAAUUGAGUUGAAGAUGAUUUAUAGAAUAUGGAGGGAUACAUAUUGAUAAUAUCAGAGCCUACUAUUCUGUGGUUAUUUUUGUUAACACUAAUAUUUAUUUAUUUAUGGUAUGCAAUAUUACAAAGACAACAAGAAUGAAAUAGGAAAGGCAAAAGAAAGGAAUUCUUGCAUUCCUUUUUCUUGCCUUUUGUUUGUAGGUAGGAGACAAUCAAAUCAUUAGUCUAUCCUUUUAAACUAUACUAUUCGAUAUAACUUACACAGGUGCCCCAUUAACUGUACAACAAACUUUCCACCAUACUUUAAUAUUUGAAUCAUGAUUUCUCUGUAAUAGAACUUUUGCAUUUCAAUUAUCAGUCAUAAUUUCAACCUUUUCCAACUGAUUUUGCUUCUUAUCUUCAGUCAUCCAUUGCAUUCAUCCUGUUCCUGUGCUCAUUCAUCUCUUCAGUAGACAUAAAAUCUCAUGAAAAUAAUCUUGCUAUCUAUAAUUAUUCUACAUUUAUCUUACAGCAUCCUGCCAUUACUAUUUUUGAUAACAUUUCAAUUUUGUUUUCUUCUCAAAUUUCUCAUAUACAUCAAAAUUUCCUUUUGUUUCAUUCAAAAAUCACACUGCAAUUUCCUCUCUCUCUCUCUUUAUGCUUUUAUCACUCAUGCAUCCUCUUUCUUGAAC